CAGCGGCGGCACCGCGUCCGGUCCUCGAGCGUAUGGGGCUUUGUCACCCGCUCUGUAGGCCCGGCCGGCGCUUGCCGAUCAACCCAAAUUUUUAUCCAGGUUGACCUCGGAUCAGGUAGGGAUACCCGCUGAACUUAA
RNAcentral lists this ribosomal RNA (138 nucleotides) under Hyalodendron sp. JS1091. Its description in RNAcentral is "partial 28S ribosomal RNA". The record is from RNAcentral. Lineage: Eukaryota; Fungi; Basidiomycota; Tremellomycetes; Trichosporonales; Trichosporonaceae. RNAcentral also lists the same sequence under 2 other names.